AGAUCAAAAUUACAAUUCUUGGAAAAUAUUUUUUCAAGACAUUUACUUAUGUUUUUAAGAGGUUUUUACUUAAGGUACAUAAAAGUAUUACAGAACAGAGGCCACUGUAUCCCAUAAAACAGGCAAUAGCUUACAUGUUUGCAUGCACAAGCCCUCAGAUACACUAAUGAAAGUCACACUGAGCAACACAGACUAGGAAGCAGCAUCACAAAUAAAUACUCACCUUGCCUAAGUCUCUGUGCUGGCAAUCUACUGAAAAGCGCGAGGGAAAUAAAGGCCAUAUUCUUUUUUCAGGGUCAAAAGUCGGAGCAGAAGGUCCCUGUUGAGAACGGAUCCUCCAGAAGAGUUUACUGCUCUUCCUUCAUCUCUCACCAUGUUUCCACACCCUUCCCUGGGUCUGCAGUUCUAGUUCUAGUAGCUUCCCUUGGGUUAUGAGUAACCUUUUUCAAUAGAUCUUUGUGGCCCUGCUGCUUUCCUGGCCUCUCACUCACUGUUUUCUUUCCACAGGUGAAAGAAGCAUCAGUUAUACUCAGACUGCAAGCAGGAACAGUGCUGAAGGCUCUGAUGCUUCUGUCACCAUUUAGAAAGAGGAUUCCAAAGAAGAAAUCUCCUUGAGUCUCAGAAGAAACUUUGGACUUAGAAAUCUUAAACUGCAUAGAGAUUGUGAAAAACUAUGGGGCCUUUUGAAAUUGGACUAAACACAUUUUGCAUAUGAUAUGGCCACAAGCCUAUGGGCUUCAUGGAAUGGAAUGUGGUGGUUUGAAUAAGAAUGGCCCACAUAGCCUCAAGUAUUUGAAUAUUUUGUCCCCAGGUGGUGGAACUAUUGAGAAGGAUUAAGAGGUGUGGCCUUGUUGGAAGAGGUGUGUCACUGGGGCUGGGUUUUGAGGGUUAAAAUGUCCACACUAUUCCUAGUUAGCUUUUCCUGCCUCCUGACUGUGUCUCCAGAUGUAAGCUUCAGCUACUGCUCCAGAACCAUCCCAACCUGCCUCCUGCCAUGCUCCACAAAAUGGUAACCAUGGCUCUAACACUUUGCAACUGUGAGCCCCCAAUUAAUUGUUUUCUUUUAUACGUUGACUUUGUCAUGGUAUUUUUGCAUGACAAUAGAAAAGUAACUAAGCAGAUGAAUUCACUCAUUGGUCAUCCAAUGCAGAGUGGUCAGCCCUGAAACCACAUAUACAUAAACAACAAACAUGAACUUGGAAGAUUUCAUAUGUGUAUGUAUAAACAUAUACAUACAUAGUAUUUUAACAACAAUAAUCAAAGAAAAAGUGGCUAUCAAGUUGAGCGUCGAGAAGAGAUUCAGGAGAGUUCAAGGGAGGGUAAACUGGAAUGGCUGAAGCAGUGGUUCUCAACCUUUCUAAUACUGUGACUCUUUAAUACAGCUCCUAAUAUGGCAAGCCACAACUAUAAAAUUAUUUUGUUGCAGUGGGAACAUGGGCCAUUUCCAACUCUUUUACUGGCUUUAGGGACCCUACUCCUCAUACUAGGUUGCCUUGCCCAGCCUUAAUACAUGGGAAGGUGCUUAGUCUUAUUGCAACUUGAUAUGCCAUGUUUUGUUGAUUAUCAUGGGGGACCUGCCCUUUCCUAAACAGAAACAGAGGAGUGGAUUGAGGUGUGGGAAAAGGGG
Peromyscus eremicus (cactus mouse) is the source of this 1627-nucleotide long non-coding RNA. RefSeq lists it as uncharacterized. Lineage: Eukaryota; Metazoa; Chordata; Mammalia; Rodentia; Cricetidae. The record is from RefSeq and is a predicted model, not a curated record. The transcript has 3 exons.